CAUUCAACAGGUACGUCUCUGUCUUCACCAUCUACUACGACAGAAGGACAAAGUACAUCAGAAUUCACUUCAUCAACAACAGAAACAUCUCCAUCCAGUGCAGAGCAAAUAACAAGCCAGCAGACACAAACCAUUCAGUUAAGUACUACCACAGAAAAAGAAUCUGCAACAACAAGUGAAUCAACAUUUACAACAGCUGUGUCCCUUCUGAGCACAACCACAACAGAAUCAUUAACAAGUGAAAGUGGUUCAACACUGGGAAAAACAUCAUUCCCAACAGAUUCUACUCCAUCUUCACCAUCGUCUACAACAAUCGGACAGACAACAGCAGAAUUCACUUCAUCUACAACAGAAACAUCCCCAUCCAGUGCAGAGCAAAUAACAAGCCAGCAGACACAAACCACUCAAUAUACUUCUGCCACUGAAACAGAAUCUACAACAACAGAUCCAUCAACAUUUACAACAGCUGUAUCCCCUUUGAGCACAACCACAACAGAAUCAUUAACAAGUGAAAGUGGUUCAACACUGGGAAAAACAUCAUUCCCAACAGAUUCUACUCCAUCUUCACCAUCGUCUAAAACAGAAGGUCAGACGACGUCAGAAUUUACUUCAUCUACAGCAAUAUCUUCAUCUAGUGUAGAACAAGCAACAAGCCAGCAGACACAAACCACUCAAUAUACUUCUGCCACUGAAACAGAAUCUACAACAACAGAUCCAUCAACAUUUACAACAGCUGUAUCCCCGUUGAGCACAACCACAACAGAAUCAUUAACAAGAGAAAGUGGUUCAACACUGGAAACAACAUUAUCCACAUCAGAUACUUCUCCAUCUUCACCAUCGUCUAAAACAGAAGGUCAGACGACGUCAGAAUUUACUUCAUCUACAGCAAUAUCUUCAUCUAGUGUAGAACAAACAACAAGCCCGCUGACACAAACCACUCAAUAUACUUUGACCACUGGAACUGAUUCUACAACAUUAGCUCCAACAACAUUUACAACAACUUUGUCCCCUCUGAGCACAACCACUGCUGAACAAACAAGUCAGCAGACACAAACCACUAUUUCAAUUUCAAGCACAGAAAUACAUUCAACACAGUCAAUUCAUUCGACAUUUCUACCACUGGAAACCAUUGGAUCAAGUUCUCCAGGCUCACCUGCCUCACUCACUACAACUUCCCCCAUUUUUGUAAAUGACUCAGUUACUUGGUCUGAAAGCACACCCACAAGGAAUGCAAGUAUCUCUCUCGAAAUUAUGAUGCACUAUCUUACGCAGUAUGAAGAUGUGAACUCUCCAGAAUCAAAAAAACUAAUUUCCAUCUUAAAACGUGAGCUUUCAAUCCUUUGUAAAAGAGCAGAUGCACAAAAUUUCAAGGAUGUGCAAAUACAUAGGCUAAGGAACGGAAGUGUCAUUGCUGAAAGUAUUGCAGUGUACAACUAUCCCAACAACAACUCACAAAUAAUGUUUCUAAAUAACGAUUUGGGACCCACCCUGGAAAAAAUCUUUAAUGACUCAGAUUCAUUAAAAAAUCUCAGCAUAGCUCUCGAUAAUGCUUCCAUCCAAAAUGCAGAAAUUACCAUGGGGACAGUUGAAAGGGGGGGGGGGGGGACAGAUAACCUUCAUUUAAAUUUUCUUUUUUUUUUUAAGCUAGACUUAAUUUAA
RNAcentral lists this long non-coding RNA (1659 nucleotides) under Sinocyclocheilus grahami. Its description in RNAcentral is "lncRNA (ENSSGRG00000040027.1)". Lineage: Eukaryota; Metazoa; Chordata; Actinopteri; Cypriniformes; Cyprinidae. The record is from RNAcentral.